This 301-nucleotide ribosomal RNA is filed under the name uncultured Costertonia sp. RNAcentral describes it as "bacterial SSU rRNA". The stretch from base 54 to 301 matches the Rfam family "Bacterial small subunit ribosomal RNA", at positions 547 to 795 of the family's 1533-position model. Lineage: Bacteria; Pseudomonadati; Bacteroidota; Flavobacteriia; Flavobacteriales; Flavobacteriaceae. The record is from RNAcentral.
AAGCGAGAUCGGCGCACGAUGACGGGGUAAGUCAGGGGGGGGAGGUGUUAAUCGGUGUUAGUGGUCGUAAGGCUGGCGUAGGCGGGUGAUGAGGUCGGAUCGGAAAGCCCUGAGCUAAACUUAGGAAUUGGAUUCGAUACUGGUAAGCUAGAGUAUGGAAGAGGAUGGUAGGAUUCCAGGUGUAGCGGUGAAAUGCGUAGAGAUCUGGAGGAAUACCGAUGGCGAAGGCAGCCAUCUGGCCUAAUACUGACGCUGAGGUACGAAAGCAUGGGGAGCAAACAGGAUUAGAUACCCGGGAGUC